AGAUACUCCUGUAAGCUACAGUGCAGAAAACAAAGUUCACCUACAGACAGACUGCAAUGCUGCACGUGAACAGCACGGUGAAGAGAAGGAUGCCCUUCUGGAGUGUGAGCAUGGAGCUCCACGGGAACACUACAGUGAAGAGGACGAGGUUUCUCUGGAGCAUGAGGCUGAAGGUAAGCGCCCCAGAGCUGGAUUCUACACAGGUCUGUGACUGGGACAAGCCUCAAGCUGC
This is a long non-coding RNA of Mauremys mutica (yellowpond turtle), 232 nucleotides long. RefSeq lists it as uncharacterized. The transcript has 3 exons. NCBI's taxonomy places the organism in Eukaryota, Metazoa, Chordata, Testudines, Geoemydidae. The record is from RefSeq and is a predicted model, not a curated record.